CCUACGGGAGGCAGCAGUGAGGAAUAUUGGUCAAUGGACGAGAGUCUGAACCAGCCAAGUAGCGUGAAGGAUGACUGCCCUAUGGGUUGUAAACUUCUUUUAUAAAGGAAUAAAACGAGGCACGUGUGCCUUUUUGCAUGUACUUUAGGAAUAAGCCUCGGCUAACUACGUGCCAGCAGCCGCGGUAAUACGUAGGAGGCAAGCGUUAUCCGGAAUGACUGGGCGUAAAGGGUGCGUAGGUGGUUUGGCAAGUUAGUAGCGAAACUCCGGAGCUCAACUUCGGAACUACUACUGAAACUGUUAGACUUGAGUGCAGGAGAGGCAAGCGGAAUUCGUGGUGUAGCGGUGAAAUGCGUAGAUAUUACGAAGAACCCCAGUGGCGAAGGCAGAUUGCUAGACUGUAACUGACACUGAGGCACGAAAGCGUGGGGAGCAAACAGGAUUAGAUACCCUAGUAGUC
Molecule: ribosomal RNA, 460 nt
Filed under: uncultured bacterium
Lineage: Bacteria
Description: partial 16S ribosomal RNA
Rfam family: Bacterial small subunit ribosomal RNA
Source: RNAcentral